GUCAGGAGAGGGUGUGUGCAGUAUGGGGUGGAGAGAAAGAAUAUUUGCCCUCCAAGCUAUCCCAAGUAUAAAUAUGUAAAUGAUAAAGUUGGCAGAUAUAAGCUGGGUUCUUAAGAUUACUAAGAAAGCCUCACCUCCUUUUUUUUUUUUUUUUUUUUUUCUUUCCUGGAGAAAUUGGAGGUUAGAAUUUCAGUGAGAUAUAACCCCUGUUGAUAGCUGUCUCACUGCCUUGGUGGCUAUUAUUUGCCUUGUUGGUUUGUGGCAAUUGCUCCAUCCAUAUGAUUGGAUAACCUGUCACUUUCUAUGUGCAUGAUAAAUGUGGAAAUAUGUAUAGAAGAAUUGUACAUGUCUAACAUAUAUUGGAUUGCUUGUUAUCAAAGGGAAAGAAUGGGGAGGCAGAGGAAGAAAAAUUUGGAACACAAGGUUUUGCAAGGAAUUUUGCCAGAAAUCAAUCAUCAGGCUAGGCUUCUGUGCUAAAAUAAAAAUGGGAGGAAUUUUGGGAGAAUAUCUUGGCAUCUCACCCUAGAUUUGGAAGACGGAAAAGUGAAUUUCAGCGCUCCAAAAAAGAACAGUUAUACAUGUACAUUCAUUAAAAAAAAAAUUGCCUUAUGAAUCAUGGUAAGAGAGAAAAAUCAGAAGAAAAGGGAAAAACCACAAAAGAAAAAAAAACAGAAGAAAAAAAAUGAGCAGAGCAUGUGUUGAUUUACAUUCAGUGUCUAUAGUUUUCUCUCUGGAUGCAGAUGGCAUUUUCCAUUUAGAAUUUAUUGGACUUUUCUUGGGUCACUGAAUUGCUGAGAAGACCAAGUUUUUCAUAGUUUAUCAUCGCACAGUCUUACUGUUAAGUGUACAAUGUAAACUUGCUCAGCAACAGUUUGUGUAAAUCUUUCUAGAUCUUUCUGAAAUCAGCUUGUGGGAAGGAAUGUGGGAAAAUUGGGACACUAAUUCAUUCUUGGUGGAGUUGUGAACUGAUCCAGCCAUUCUGGAGAGCAAUUUGGGACUAUGCCUAAAGGGCUAUCAAACUGUGUAUAUCCUUUGACCCAGCAAUAUUUCUACUGGGUUUAGAAAUUAUAAAGGAGGGAAAGAGACCCACAUGUGCAAAAAUGUUUGCACCUGUUUUUGUAGUGACAAGAAACUGGAAACUGAGUUUCCAGUUGGAGAAUGACUAAGUUAUAGUAUAUGAAUGUUAUAGAAUAUUGUUCUGUAAGAAAUGAUCAGCAGGAUGAUUUCAGAGAGGCCUGGAGAGACUUACAUGCCCUGAUGCUAAGUGAAAUGAGCAGAACCAGGAGAGCAUUAUACACAGCAACAACAAGAUUAUAAGAUGAUCAAUUCUGAUGGAUGUGGCUCUUUUCAAUAAUGAGAUGAUUCAGAUCAGUUCCAAUGAUCUUGUGAUGAAGAGAGCCAACUACACCCAGAAAAAGGACUGUGGGAACUGAGUGUGGACCACAACAUAGCAUUUUUACUCUUUUUGUUGUUUCCUUGCAUCUUGUUUUCUUUCUCAUUUUUCCCUUUUUGAUCUGAUUUUUCUUCUAUAGCAAGAUAAUUGCAUAAAUAUGUAUACAUAUAUUGGAUUUAACAUACAUUUUUAACAUGUUUAACAUAUAUUAAAUUUCUUGUGGAGGGAAGAAGGGGUGGGGAGAAGAAGGAAUGGGGGAAAAUUUGGAACACAAGGUUUUGCA
This is a long non-coding RNA of Antechinus flavipes (yellow-footed antechinus), 1676 nucleotides long. RefSeq lists it as uncharacterized. NCBI's taxonomy places the organism in Eukaryota, Metazoa, Chordata, Mammalia, Dasyuromorphia, Dasyuridae. The transcript has 4 exons. The record is from RefSeq and is a predicted model, not a curated record.